This 415-nucleotide ribosomal RNA is filed under the name uncultured bacterium. RNAcentral describes it as "bacterial SSU rRNA". It matches the Rfam family "Bacterial small subunit ribosomal RNA", at positions 359 to 776 of the family's 1533-position model. The record is from RNAcentral.
GAAUAUUGCGCAAUGGGCGAAAGCCUGACGCAGCGACGCCGCGUGGGGGAUGAAGGUCUUCGGAUUGUAAACCCCUUUCGGGAGGGAAGAUGGGACGGGCAACCGUCCGGACGGUACCUCCAGAAGCAGCCACGGCUAACUUCGUGCCGGCAGCCGCGGUAAUACGAAGGUGGCAAGCGUUGUUCGGAUUUACUGGGCGUAAAGGGAGCGUAGGCGGUUUGGUAAGCCCUCCGGGAAAUCUCCCGGCCCAACCGGGAAAGGUCGGAGGGGACUGCUUGACUAGAGGGCGGGAGAGGAGCGCUGAAUUCCCGGUGUAGCGGUGAAAUGCGUAGAGAUCGGGAGGAAGGCCGGUGGCGAAGGCGGCGCUCUGGAACGAUCCUGACGCUGAGGCUCGAAAGCGUGGGGAGCAAACAGG